UACGGAGGAUGCGAGCGUUAUCCGGAUUUACUGGGCGUAAAGCGCGUGUAGGUGGUUUGGUAAGUAGGGCGUGAAAGCUCCUGGCUCAACUGGGAGAGGACGUUCUAAACUGCCAAGCUUGAGGAUGGUAGAGGGCGGUGGAAUUCCGGGUGUAGCGGUGGAAUAUGCAGAUAUCCGGAGGAACACCAGUGGCGAAGGCGGCCUCCUGGACCACUCCUGACACUCGGACGCGAAAGCUAGGGUAGCAAACGGGAUUAGAGACCCCGUUAGUCCUAGCCCUAAACGAUGUAGACUUGGCGUCGGUGGUUUAAUCGCCAUCGGUGUCGUAGCUAACGCGUUAAGUCUACCGCCUGGGGACUACGGCCGCAAGGUUAAA
This 376-nucleotide ribosomal RNA is filed under the name uncultured bacterium. Its description in RNAcentral is "bacterial SSU rRNA". It matches the Rfam family "Bacterial small subunit ribosomal RNA", at positions 524 to 898 of the family's 1533-position model. The record is from RNAcentral.